This 329-nucleotide unclassified non-coding RNA is filed under the name plant metagenome. RNAcentral's name for it is "partial contains small subunit ribosomal RNA and internal transcribed spacer 1". The stretch from base 1 to 46 matches the Rfam family "Eukaryotic small subunit ribosomal RNA", at positions 1786 to 1831 of the family's 1831-position model. The record is from RNAcentral.
AAGUCGUAACAAGGUUUCCGUAGGUGAACCUGCGGAAGGAUCAUUAUUGAAAUCAUCGCCUAAAGGUUGUGCUGGUUCAGAAGUAAACUCUCUGUUCAUGUGCACGCCGGGGGUCCUGAUAUCUUUCCACCUGUGCACUUUAGUAGGCAGUUGUAUGUCUUGGUUGUUGUCUUUGUAUCACACCUCGUGUGUGGAUGUGGGAAUGGGUUUGCAAAAAAGCCCCUUUCCCCUGGGACCUAGCGGAGCCGUCGCUGUUCUACGUUUUUUACACACCCAAUGUAUGUCUAGAAGUUCAUUUAUCGGUCGGAAGGCCUUUAAUCUUAACACAA